UGCGUAGGCGGGCUAUUAAGUCAGUGGUGAAAGCUUGCAGCUUAACUGUAAAAUUGCCAUUGAAACUGAUAGCCUCGAAUAUGGUUGAGGUGGUUGGAAUGUAUCAUGUAGCGGUGAAAUGCUUAGAUAUGAUACAGAACACCGAUUGCGAAGGCAGAUCACUAAACCAUUAUUGACGCUGAGGCACGAAAGCGUGGGGAUCAAACA
This 207-nucleotide ribosomal RNA is filed under the name uncultured bacterium. Its description in RNAcentral is "partial 16S ribosomal RNA". It matches the Rfam family "Bacterial small subunit ribosomal RNA", at positions 568 to 774 of the family's 1533-position model. The record is from RNAcentral.